This 253-nucleotide ribosomal RNA is filed under the name uncultured bacterium. RNAcentral's name for it is "partial 16S ribosomal RNA". It matches the Rfam family "Bacterial small subunit ribosomal RNA", at positions 524 to 776 of the family's 1533-position model. The record is from RNAcentral.
UACGGAGGGUGCAAGCGUUAAUCGGAAUUACUGGGCGUAAAGCGCGCGUAGGCGGCUGUUUAAGCUAGAUGUGAAAUCCCCGGGCUCAACCUGGGACGUGCAUUUAGAACUGGGCAGCUAGAGUACAGAAGAGGAUAGUGGAAUUUCAGGUGUAGCGGUGAAAUGCGUAGAGAUCUGAAGGAACACCAGUGGCGAAGGCGACUGUCUGGUCUGAUACUGACGCUGAGGUGCGAAAGCGUGGGGAGCAAACAGG